This is a ribosomal RNA of Lepisosteus oculatus (spotted gar), 117 nucleotides long. NCBI's taxonomy places the organism in Eukaryota, Metazoa, Chordata, Actinopteri, Semionotiformes, Lepisosteidae. The record is from Rfam.
GCCAGCAGCCAUAUCACCCUACAGCUCUCAACUGGCUAUCCACUGAAGCUCAGCAUGGUUGAGCCUGGUCAGUACCUGGAUGGGAGACCUCCCGGGAAGCUAUGGUUGCUGCUGGAA